GGAGCAGUAGCUCAGAGGUAGAGCAGCGGACUGCAGUUCCGAAGGUCGCUGGUUCAAUUCCGGCCUGCUCCU
Molecule: transfer RNA, 72 nt
Filed under: Annulohypoxylon bovei var. microspora
Lineage: Eukaryota; Fungi; Ascomycota; Sordariomycetes; Xylariales; Hypoxylaceae
Description: tRNA-Cys
Rfam family: tRNA
About the family: Transfer RNA (tRNA) molecules are approximately 80 nucleotides in length. Their secondary structure includes four short double-helical elements and three loops (D, anti-codon, and T loops).
Source: RNAcentral